This 2931-nucleotide ribosomal RNA is filed under the name Salmonella enterica subsp. salamae serovar 57:z29:z42. RNAcentral describes it as "bacterial LSU rRNA". It matches the Rfam family "Bacterial large subunit ribosomal RNA". Lineage: Bacteria; Pseudomonadati; Pseudomonadota; Gammaproteobacteria; Enterobacterales; Enterobacteriaceae. The record is from RNAcentral.
GGGUUGUGAGGUUAAGCGACCAAGCGUACACGGUGGAUGCCCUGGCAGUCAGAGGCGAUGAAGGACGUGCUAAUCUGCGAUAAGCGCCGGUAAGGUGAUAUGAACCGUUAUAACCGGCGAUUUCCGAAUGGGGAAACCCAGUGUGACUCGUCACACUAUCAUUAACUGAAUCCAUAGGUUAAUGAGGCGAACCGGGGGAACUGAAACAUCUAAGUACCCCGAGGAAAAGAAAUCAACCGAGAUUCCCCCAGUAGCGGCGAGCGAACGGGGAGGAGCCCAGAGCCUGAAUCAGCAUGUGUGUUAGUGGAAGCGUCUGGAAAGGCGCGCGAUACAGGGUGACAGCCCCGUACACAAAAGCGCAUAUGCUGUGAGCUCGAUGAGUAGGGCGGGACACGUGGUAUCCUGUCUGAAUAUGGGGGGACCAUCCUCCAAGGCUAAAUACUCCUGACUGACCGAUAGUGAACCAGUACCGUGAGGGAAAGGCGAAAAGAACCCCGGCGAGGGGAGUGAAACAGAACCUGAAACCGUGUACGUACAAGCAGUGGGAGCACAGGUUUACCUGUGUGACUGCGUACCUUUUGUAUAAUGGGUCAGCGACUUAUAUUCUGUAGCAAGGUUAACCGCAUAGGGGAGCCGAAGGGAAACCGAGUCUUAAUUGGGCGUUAAGUUGCAGGGUAUAGACCCGAAACCCGGUGAUCUAGCCAUGGGCAGGUUGAAGGUUGGGUAACACUAACUGGAGGACCGAACCGACUAAUGUUGAAAAAUUAGCGGAUGACCUGUGGCUGGGGGUGAAAGGCCAAUCAAACCGGGAGAUAGCUGGUUCUCCCCGAAAGCUAUUUAGGUAGCGCCUCGUGAAUUCAUCUCCGGGGGUAGAGCACUGUUUCGGCUAGGGGGCCAUCCCGGCUUACCAACCCGAUGCAAACUGCGAAUACCGGAGAAUGUUAUCACGGGAGACACACGGCGGGUGCUAACGUCCGUCGUGAAGAGGGAAACAACCCAGACCGCCAGCUAAGGUCCCAAAGUCAUGGUUAAGUGGGAAACGAUGUGGGAAGGCCCAGACAGCCAGGAUGUUGGCUUAGAAGCAGCCAUCAUUUAAAGAAAGCGUAAUAGCUCACUGGUCGAGUCGGCCUGCGCGGAAGAUGUAACGGGGCUAAACCAUGCACCGAAGCUGCGGCAGCGACACUGUGUGUUGUUGGGUAGGGGAGCGUUCUGUAAGCCGUUGAAGGUGUGUCGUGAGGCAUGCUGGAGGUAUCAGAAGUGCGAAUGCUGACAUAAGUAACGAUAAAGCGGGUGAAAAGCCCGCUCGCCGGAAGACCAAGGGUUCCUGUCCAACGUUAAUCGGGGCAGGGUGAGUCGACCCCUAAGGCGAGGCCGAAAGGCGUAGUCGAUGGGAAACGGGUUAAUAUUCCCGUACUUGGUGUUACUGCGAAGGGGGGACGGAGAAGGCUAUGUUGGCCGGGCGACGGUUGUCCCGGUUUAAGCGUGUAGGCUGACUUUCCAGGCAAAUCCGGAGAGUCAAGGCUGAGGCGUGACGACGAGGCACCACGGUGCUGAAGCAACAAAUGCCCUGCUUCCAGGAAAAGCCUCUAAGCAUCAGGUAACAUCAAAUCGUACCCCAAACCGACACAGGUGGUCAGGUAGAGAAUACCAAGGCGCUUGAGAGAACUCGGGUGAAGGAACUAGGCAAAAUGGUGCCGUAACUUCGGGAGAAGGCACGCUGACAUGUAGGUGAAGCGGUUUACCCGUGGAGCUGAAGUCAGUCGAAGAUACCAGCUGGCUGCAACUGUUUAUUAAAAACACAGCACUGUGCAAACACGAAAGUGGACGUAUACGGUGUGACGCCUGCCCGGUGCCGGAAGGUUAAUUGAUGGGGUCAGCGCAAGCGAAGCUCCUGAUCGAAGCCCCGGUAAACGGCGGCCGUAACUAUAACGGUCCUAAGGUAGCGAAAUUCCUUGUCGGGUAAGUUCCGACCUGCACGAAUGGCGUAAUGAUGGCCAGGCUGUCUCCACCCGAGACUCAGUGAAAUUGAACUCGCUGUGAAGAUGCAGUGUACCCGCGGCAAGACGGAAAGACCCCGUGAACCUUUACUAUAGCUUGACACUGAACAUUGAGCCUUGAUGUGUAGGAUAGGUGGGAGGCUUUGAAGCGUGGACGCCAGUCUGCGUGGAGCCAACCUUGAAAUACCACCCUUUAAUGUUUGAUGUUCUAACGUGGACCCGUGAUCCGGGUUGCGGACAGUGUCUGGUGGGUAGUUUGACUGGGGCGGUCUCCUCCUAAAGAGUAACGGAGGAGCACGAAGGUUGGCUAAUCCUGGUCGGACAUCAGGAGGUUAGUGCAAUGGCAUAAGCCAGCUUGACUGCGAGCGUGACGGCGCGAGCAGGUGCGAAAGCAGGUCAUAGUGAUCCGGUGGUUCUGAAUGGAAGGGCCAUCGCUCAACGGAUAAAAGGUACUCCGGGGAUAACAGGCUGAUACCGCCCAAGAGUUCAUAUCGACGGCGGUGUUUGGCACCUCGAUGUCGGCUCAUCACAUCCUGGGGCUGAAGUAGGUCCCAAGGGUAUGGCUGUUCGCCAUUUAAAGUGGUACGCGAGCUGGGUUUAGAACGUCGUGAGACAGUUCGGUCCCUAUCUGCCGUGGGCGCUGGAGAACUGAGGGGGGCUGCUCCUAGUACGAGAGGACCGGAGUGGACGCAUCACUGGUGUUCGGGUUGUCAUGCCAAUGGCACUGCCCGGUAGCUAAAUGCGGAAGAGAUAAGUGCUGAAAGCAUCUAAGCACGAAACUUGCCCCGAGAUGAGUUCUCCCUGAGACUUUAAGUCUCCUGAAGGAACGUUGAAGACGACGACGUUGAUAGGCCGGGUGUGUAAGCGCAGCGAUGCGUUGAGCUAACCGGUACUAAUGAACCGUGAGGCUUAACCUUACAACGCCGAAGCUGUU